GACGAACGCUGGCGGCGUGCUUAACACAUGCAAGUCGAACGGUGAAGCGCCUUCCUUUUUGGUGGGUGUGGAUGAGUGGCGAACGGGUGAGUAACACGUGAGUAACCUGCCCCCUCCUUCUGGAUAACCGCAUGAAAGUGUGGCUAAUACGGGAUAUUCUGGGUCUGUCGCAUGAUGGGUCUGGGAAAGAUAUUGUGUCGGUGGGGGAUGGGCUCGCGGCGUAUCAGCUAGUUGGUGGGGUGAUGGCCUACCAAGGCGGCGACGGGUAGCCGGCCUGAGAGGGUGGUCGGCCGCACUCGAACUGAGGCACGCUCCGCACUCCUCCGGGAGGCAGCAGGAGGGAGGCUUACGGAAUGGGGGGAGGCAGGCCGGAGCAACGCCGCCUGCGUGAGGAAGGGGUUCUGUUCGGUUGGCGCUCUUUUUCGGGAAGAACAUAGGUCUGCGUUGUUGGGGGGUGGUUGACGGUACCUAGUAAAAAAGCCCCGGCUAACUACGUG
Molecule: ribosomal RNA, 497 nt
Filed under: uncultured bacterium
Lineage: Bacteria
Description: partial 16S ribosomal RNA
Rfam family: Bacterial small subunit ribosomal RNA
Source: RNAcentral